RNAcentral lists this ribosomal RNA (494 nucleotides) under uncultured bacterium. RNAcentral describes it as "partial 16S ribosomal RNA". It matches the Rfam family "Bacterial small subunit ribosomal RNA", at positions 28 to 506 of the family's 1533-position model. The record is from RNAcentral.
GACGAACGCUGGCGGCGUGCCUAAUACAUGCAAGUAGAACGCUGAAGGAGGAGCUUGCUUCUCUGGAUGAGUUGCGAACGGGUGAGUAACGCGUAGGUAACCUGCCUGGUAGCGGGGGAUAACUAUUGGAAACGAUAGCUAAUACCGCAUAAGAGUAGAUGUUGCAUGACAUUUGCUUAAAAGGUGCAAUUGCAUCACUACCAGAUGGACCUGCGUUGUAUUAGCUAGUUGGUGGGGUAACGGCUCACCAAGGCGACGAUACAUAGCCGACCUGGGAGGGUGAUCGGCCACACUGGGACUGAGACAGGGCCCAGAGUCCUACGGGAGGCCGCAGUAGGGAAUGUUCGGCAAUGGACGGAAGUCUGACCGAGCAACGCCGCGUGAGUGAAGAAGGUUUUCGGAUCGUAAAGCUCUGUUGUAAGAGAAGAACGAGUGUGAGAGUGGAAAGUUCACACUGUGACGGUAUCUUACAAGAAAGGGACGGCAAACUACGU